RNAcentral lists this ribosomal RNA (733 nucleotides) under uncultured bacterium. Its description in RNAcentral is "bacterial SSU rRNA". It matches the Rfam family "Bacterial small subunit ribosomal RNA", at positions 68 to 811 of the family's 1533-position model. The record is from RNAcentral.
UUGAUCUUCUUCGGAAGUGAUUGUUUUGUGACUGAGUGGCGGACGGGUGAGUAACGCGUGGGUAACCUGCCUCGCACAGGGGGACAGCAGCUGGAAACGGCUGCUAAUACCGCAUAAGCGCACAGCUUCGCAUGAAGCAGUGUGAAAAACUCCGGUGGUGUGAGAUGGACCCGCGACUGAUUAGGUAGUUGGUGAGGUAACGGCCCACCAAGCCGACGAUCAGUAGCCGACCUGAGAGGGUGACCGGCCACAUUGGGACUGAGACACGGCCCAAACUCCUACGGGAGGCAGCAGUGGGGAAUAUUGCACAAUGGGCGAAAGCCUGAUGCAGCGACGCCGCGUGAGCGAAGAAGUAUUUCGGUAUGUAAAGCUCUAUCAGCAGGGAAGAAAAUGACGGUACCUGACUAAGAAGCUCCGGCUAAAUACGUGCCAGCAGCCGCGGUAAUACGUAUGGAGCAAGCGUUAUCCGGAUUUACUGGGUGUAAAGGGAGCGUAGGCGGCAGGGCAAGUCUGAUGUGAAAACCCAGGGCUCAACCUUGGGACUGCAUUGGAAACUGUUCGGCUGGAGUGUCGGAGAGGCAAGCGGAAUUCCUAGUGUAGCGGUGAAAUGCGUAGAUAUUAGGAGGAACACCAGUGGCGAAGGCGGCUUGCUGGACGAUGACUGACGCUGAGGCUCGAAAGCGUGGGGAGCAAGCAGGAUUAGAUACCCUGGUAGUCCACGCCGUAAACGAUG